RNAcentral lists this ribosomal RNA (501 nucleotides) under uncultured bacterium. RNAcentral describes it as "partial 16S ribosomal RNA". It matches the Rfam family "Bacterial small subunit ribosomal RNA", at positions 29 to 523 of the family's 1533-position model. The record is from RNAcentral.
AUUGAACGCUGGCGGCAUGCCUUACACAUGCAAGUCGAACGGCAGCACGGGUGCUUGCACCUGGUGGCGAGUGGCGAACGGGUGAGUAAUACAUCGGAACGUACCUUAUCGUGGGGGAUAACGCAGCGAAAGCUGUGCUAAUACCGCACACGCCCUGAGGGGGAAAGCGGGGGAUCGAAAGACCCUGCGCGAUUAGAGCGGCCGAUGCCUGAUUAGCUUGUUGGUGGGGUAAAAGCCCACCAAGGCGACGAUCAGUAGCUGGUCUGAGGGGACGAUCAGCCACACUGGGACUGAGACACGGCCCAGACUCCUACGGGAGGCAGCAGUGGGGAAUUUUGGACAAUGGGGGCAACCCUGAUCCAGCAAUGCCGCGUGAGUGAAGAAGGCCUUCGGGUUGUAAAGCUCUUUUGUCAGGGAAGAAACACCGGCUCUAACACAGUCCGGGGAUGACGGUACCUGAAGAAUAAGCACCGGCUAACUACGUGCCAGCAGCCGCGGUAA